AGGGUGCACACGUGUUGGAUCUCGGCACCACCAGUGUUUUAAUGAGUGCACAGUGUCUACAGUACCACGAGAUCUGUAAAAUUGUGAACAAGAUACUUUUAUUCAACUCACAAUAUUGAACUUGGAUCAGUGGACAGAUAAAACAUUAAAACCCUCAUGUGAACCAAAUUAAUGAUCUACAGAACACAGUGUACGAGGCCUUGUGAUUACUGUUGCCUGCUGCUAUUUCUAUCAUUCCCUUGGGUGUCUUAGUGAGUGUCUGGUGACUUGAACUAAUAGACUUGGUGACCAGUGGUGGAGGAUUUCUGCAGUCUGUCAUGUCAUCUUAACUUGGCCUCACCACACCUGGACAUCACGUCACUCACAGGAUCACGCUUGGUCGUAAUGACGUCACUCAACACCAGGGCGGCGCUGAUGCUGCUUCUUCUACUCUUCAACACAGGGAGGUGUUGUGAGUGGGAUGCCGGGGAGGAGCUACGUCGGUUUGUGCGUGUGAGAGAGGACGCCCCGCCAGGCACCACCUUACUCACUAUCAACGCUACUCACCCUCACCUCCUGCACUUACAC
This is a long non-coding RNA of Homarus americanus (American lobster), 567 nucleotides long. RefSeq lists it as uncharacterized. NCBI's taxonomy places the organism in Eukaryota, Metazoa, Arthropoda, Malacostraca, Decapoda, Nephropidae. The record is from RefSeq and is a predicted model, not a curated record. The transcript is spliced from 4 exons.